UUGGACAGUGGUGUUAAAGUGUGCAUGGCUUUAUGAGUGGGAGCCACAGGACAGGGCAAGACAGAAACAGAAGUGAUGUAACAUUUAAUUGCAAUUACACACUAAGAAAAUGAUCAAACGUAUGAAUACUUUCCAAGAAGUCUCUGCUGCUUCAAAACAGACCUGACCAUGGGAAAACUGCUACAAACUUAUCCAUACACCCAUACAUCAGAGAAAAUUAGGUUGGGAAUGACCUCUUAUGUUAUAUGAAUUUAGUACAUUUUAGAUGAAAUGACCUGAAUCUGAAAGCACUUCAGCAACAAAUAACAUGAUAAAGGAGGUAUCUCCAGCACACCAAGAAGGCCAUAUGGAGGACCUUCUAGCCUGGAAGGACCAUUCAAACUACAGUGAUUCAAUACAAGAUGAUUAAGAUUAUUCAAUAAGUCCCUGUCAAAGAAAAGAUUGCAUUGCCACA
Molecule: long non-coding RNA, 454 nt
Filed under: Gallus gallus (chicken)
Lineage: Eukaryota; Metazoa; Chordata; Aves; Galliformes; Phasianidae
Description: long non-coding RNA NONGGAT006821
Source: RNAcentral